ACGUUCCCGUCAGACAGCUCGCAUGCGCUCUGGUCCGCCAUGUAGAAGCGCUCCGCGGGAAACCGGCGGAGGUUCAGGCGAUGAGCACGGCGAGCUUUUCCCUGAACGGGUCAGCGACCGCUGGGGACCUGAGGCGGCGGCGAGGGUGACAUCCUGUUUCGAUAAGGGCGCGCGCUCCGGCGGCCCGAGCGAUGUCAAUCAGCUGCGUGGCAAAUCCUUGAGUCGGCAUGUGGCUUUGGGGGAAGCC
This 247-nucleotide small RNA is filed under the name Caulobacter vibrioides NA1000. RNAcentral's name for it is "small non-coding RNA". The record is from RNAcentral. Lineage: Bacteria; Pseudomonadati; Pseudomonadota; Alphaproteobacteria; Caulobacterales; Caulobacteraceae.